This 492-nucleotide ribosomal RNA is filed under the name uncultured bacterium. RNAcentral describes it as "partial 16S ribosomal RNA". It matches the Rfam family "Bacterial small subunit ribosomal RNA", at positions 29 to 507 of the family's 1533-position model. The record is from RNAcentral.
AGUGAACGCUGGCGGUAGGCCUAACACAUGCCAGUCGAACGGCAGCACAGUAAGAGCUUGCUCUUACGGGUGGCGAGUGGCGGACGGGUGAGGAAUACAUCGGAAUCUACUUUUUCGUGGGGGAUAACGUAGGGAAACUUACGCUAAUACCGCAUACGACCUACGGGUGAAAGCAUGGGAUCUUCGGACCUUGCGUGAUUGAAUGAGCCGAUGUCGGAUUAGCUAGUUGGCGGGGUAAAGGCCCACCAAGGCGACGAUCCGUAGCUGGUCUGAGAGGAUGAUCAGCCACACUGGAACUGAGACACGGUCCAGACUCCUACGGGAGGCAGCAGUGGGGAAUAUUGGACAAUGGGCGCAAGCCUGAUCCAGCCAUACCGCGUGGGUGAAGAAGGCCUUCGGAUUGUAAAGCCCUUUUAUUGGGAAAGAAAAGCAGCAGGUUAAUACCCCGCUGUUCUGACGGUACCCAAAGAAUAAGCACCGGCUAACUUCGUG